UACGGGGGAUGCAAGCGUUAUCCGGAUUUACUGGGUGUAAAGGGAGCGUAGGCGGCUUAGUAAGUCAGAAGUGAAAGCCCGCAGCUCAACUGCGGGACUGCUUUUGAAACUGCCAGGCUAGAGUGUCGGAGAGGUAAGUGGAAUUCCUAGUGUAGCGGUGAAAUGCGUAGAUAUUAGGAGGAACACCAGUGGCGAAGGCAUCUCACGAAUCCGCGAUUGACGCUGAUGCACGAAAGCGUGGGUAUCAAACAGG
RNAcentral lists this ribosomal RNA (253 nucleotides) under uncultured Eubacteriales bacterium. Its description in RNAcentral is "uncultured Clostridiales bacterium partial 16S ribosomal RNA". It matches the Rfam family "Bacterial small subunit ribosomal RNA", at positions 524 to 776 of the family's 1533-position model. Lineage: Bacteria; Bacillati; Bacillota; Clostridia; Eubacteriales. The record is from RNAcentral.